RNAcentral lists this ribosomal RNA (497 nucleotides) under uncultured bacterium. RNAcentral describes it as "partial 16S ribosomal RNA". It matches the Rfam family "Bacterial small subunit ribosomal RNA", at positions 28 to 507 of the family's 1533-position model. The record is from RNAcentral.
GAUGAACGCUGGCGGCGUGCCUAAUACAUGCAAGUCGAGCGAACGGACGAGAAGCUUGCUUCUCUGAUGUUAGCGGCGGACGGGUGAGUAACACGUGGAUAACCUACCUAUAAGACUGGGAUAACUUCGGGAAACCGGAGCUAAUACCGGAUAAUAUUUUGAACCGCAUGGUUCAAAAGUGAAAGACGGUCUUGCUGUCACUUAUAGAUGGAUCCGCGCUGCAUUAGCUAGUUGGUAAGGUAACGGCUUACCAAGGCAACGAUGCAUAGCCGACCUGAGAGGGUGAUCGGCCACACUGGAACUGAGACACGGUCCAGACUCCUACGGGAGGCAGCAGUAGGGAAUCUUCCGCAAUGGGCGAAAGCCUGACGGAGCAACGCCGCGUGAGUGAUGAAGGUGUUCGGAUCGUAAAACUCUGUUAUUAGGGAAGAACAUAUGUGUAAGUAACUGUGCACAUCUUGACGGUACCUAAUCAGAAAGCCACGGCUAACUACGUG